Arabidopsis thaliana (thale cress) is the source of this 227-nucleotide long non-coding RNA. RefSeq annotates it as other RNA. The transcript has a single exon. The record is from RefSeq. Lineage: Eukaryota; Viridiplantae; Streptophyta; Magnoliopsida; Brassicales; Brassicaceae.
UUCUCAUCGAUCCAGCCAUGAGUGCAGCUGCACCAAGGACAGCAUAAAGCCCUUGGUCAAUACUUGUGUAUGAUCCCAUUGCAGCGCCAAGCAUUCGGCCAUAUGCAGCACCCAUGAGGAUGAUGGGGAGGAAGAGACCAGACGGUGUUGCAAUACCAAAUGUGAAAAGCCCCAAGAUGCAGUAUAGCACAAAGAAUAUCCAAAGGGAACCCAUACCAAACUCAUUG